GCAGGGGGUUUAGCUCAGGGGUAGAGCAUUUGACUGCAGAUCAAGAGGUCCCUGGUUCAAAUCCAGGUGCCCCCUGCU
RNAcentral lists this transfer RNA (78 nucleotides) under Papio anubis (olive baboon). RNAcentral's name for it is "tRNA-Cys (GCA) (tRNA-Cys-GCA-12-1)". It matches the Rfam family "tRNA". From Rfam's summary of the family: Transfer RNA (tRNA) molecules are approximately 80 nucleotides in length. Lineage: Eukaryota; Metazoa; Chordata; Mammalia; Primates; Cercopithecidae. The record is from RNAcentral.